AUACAGGGGGUGCGAGCGUUAAUCGGAAUUACUGGGCGUAAAGAGUACGUAGGCGGUUGCUUAAGUCAGAUGUGAAAGCCCCGGGCUCAACCUGGGAACUGCAUUUGAAACUGAGUGACUAGAGUUUAAGAGAGGGGAGUAGAAUUCCGGGUGUAGCGGUGAAAUGCGUAGAGAUCCGGAGGAAUACCAGUGGCGAAGGCGGCUCCCUGGCUUAAAACUGACGCUGAGGUACGAAAGCGUGGGUAGCAAACAGGAUUAGAAACCCGGGUAGUCC
RNAcentral lists this ribosomal RNA (274 nucleotides) under uncultured bacterium. Its description in RNAcentral is "partial 16S ribosomal RNA". It matches the Rfam family "Bacterial small subunit ribosomal RNA", at positions 523 to 796 of the family's 1533-position model. The record is from RNAcentral.